CACCGCGGUUAUACGAGAGGCCCAAGUUGAUAAAUUUUCGGCGUAAAGAGUGGUUAAAUGCCCACCUCACUAAAGCCAAAUGCUCUCAUCGCUGUUAUACGCUUCCGAGAGUAAGAAGCCCCACUACGAAAGUAGCUUUAUUAGAAUUGACCCCACGAAAGCUGUGGAA
Molecule: ribosomal RNA, 169 nt
Filed under: Paraclinus integripinnis (reef finspot)
Lineage: Eukaryota; Metazoa; Chordata; Actinopteri; Blenniiformes; Labrisomidae
Description: partial small subunit ribosomal RNA
Source: RNAcentral